Molecule: unclassified non-coding RNA, 390 nt
Filed under: soil metagenome
Description: partial contains 5.8S ribosomal RNA, internal transcribed spacer 2, and large subunit ribosomal RNA
Rfam family: 5.8S ribosomal RNA (bases 1-122)
Source: RNAcentral
GAUGAAGAACGUAGCGAAAUGCGAUACUUGGUGUGAAUUGCAGAAUCCCGUGAACCAUCGAGUCUUUGAACGCAAGUUGCGCCCGAAGCCAUUAGGCCGAGGGCACGCCUGCCUGGGCGUCACACGUCGUUGCCCCCCCAUCUACUCCUUCGGGAUUGCGGGGGCGGAUGAUGGCCUCCCGUGCGCCUCGCCGCGCGGUUGGCAUAAAUGCCAAGUCCUCGGCGACGCACGCCACGACAAUCGGUGGUUGCGAAACCUCGGUUGCCCGUCGUGUGCGGUCGUCGCGCAUCGAGGGCUCGAAAAAAUUGCCGGGUUCCGGCUCGGCUUUCAACGCGACCCCAGGUCAGGCGGGGUUACCCGCUGAAUUUAAGCAUAUCAAUAAGCGGAGGA